RNAcentral lists this ribosomal RNA (258 nucleotides) under uncultured bacterium. Its description in RNAcentral is "partial 16S ribosomal RNA". It matches the Rfam family "Bacterial small subunit ribosomal RNA", at positions 334 to 584 of the family's 1533-position model. The record is from RNAcentral.
GGUUCCUACGGGAGGCAGCAGUGGGGAAUAUUGCGCAAUGGGCGGAAGCCUGACGCAGCGACGCCGCGUGAGGGAUGAAGGUCUUCGGAUCGUAAACCUCUGUCAGCAGGGAAGAACGGUCACUGUGCUAAUCAGCAGUGAAUUGACGGUACCUGCAAAGGAAGCACCGGCUAACUCCGUGCCAGCAGCCGCGGUAAUACGGAGGGGGCGAGCGUUAAUCGGAAUCACUGGGCGUAAAGAGCGCGUAGGCGGGAUAGC